Molecule: ribosomal RNA, 253 nt
Filed under: uncultured bacterium
Lineage: Bacteria
Description: partial 16S ribosomal RNA
Rfam family: Bacterial small subunit ribosomal RNA
Source: RNAcentral
UACGUAGGGACCAAGCGUUGUUCGGAUUUACUGGGCGUAAAGGGCGCGUAGGCGGCUUGACAAGUCACUUGUGAAAUCUCUGGGCUUAACCCAGAACGGCCAAGUGAUACUGUCGUGCUAGAGUGCAGAAGGGGCAAUCGGAAUUCUUGGUGUAGCGGUGAAAUGCGUAGAUAUCAAGAGGAACACCUGAGGUGAAGACGGGUUGCUGGGCUGACACUGACGCUGAGGCGCGAAAGCCAGGGGAGCAAACGGG